CGCUGACUGUGGACUCCAGGUUCCCCGAAGAGCCGCUGAUCAGGGACGAGUGUUGGGGGCACUGGCAGAUUCGCGUGGGGGGAAGGUGGGCUGGCCAGGAGACAGCCUGCUGAUCACCCUCUGACCUCAGCAAAGCUCUUCCCUGUCUUUCUCCAGCUCAUUUUUCAGACUGCAAAUGGACCGGACUGCAUGAAGAGGUUAAAACAUUUCUGGAUUGUGUGGAGGGAAUGUCCUUAGCCCUUUGAGGUUGAUUGCAGGGGGUCUUUUGAAAGCAGAGGGUUCUCUUCAGCUGGGAGCAGAGGAGAAAGCCAGAGAGAUUCAAAGCACAAGAAGGACUUGACCUGAGGUGCUGGCUUGAAGACGUAGGGGGCAUGUGACGAGGAAUGCGGGGUUCUCCAGGAGUUGAGAGUGACCUCACCUGGCAGGCAAAGGAAAUGGAGACCCCAAUCGCACAGCCACAGAGAAAUGAAUUCUGCCGACAAUGUGAAUGAGCCGGAAAGCAGAUUCUCCCCCAGGACCUCCAGAGCCUUAUGAGGAGUAGACUCAGGCUGUCACCUCGACUCGACUGAUGACCUCAAGGAGGAAGGAUGGAUAUGACCCAACGUCACAGGUGAUCCCCACCAGUGAAUGUUCCAGAAGCUUCCAUGGAGCUCUUGGAGACGUGGCUCACACACAGGGCAAAGCUCCUUUGCCGUGGUCAGCUCUGCCUUUAUAUGCAGCCCCUCACUGCCCGCCUAUCUUCA
This 743-nucleotide long non-coding RNA is filed under the name Equus asinus (donkey). RNAcentral describes it as "lncRNA (ENSEASG00005034699.1)". Lineage: Eukaryota; Metazoa; Chordata; Mammalia; Perissodactyla; Equidae. The record is from RNAcentral.